This 67-nucleotide small RNA is filed under the name Halobacillus alkaliphilus. RNAcentral describes it as "Bacillaceae-1 RNA". It matches the Rfam family "Bacillaceae-1 RNA". Lineage: Bacteria; Bacillati; Bacillota; Bacilli; Caryophanales; Bacillaceae. The record is from RNAcentral.
CUUUACUGGAGUUCGACUAAGAACGCCAUGUUGUGUGGCAACGUCGAAUGGUCCUGCGUCAUGCAGG